This 360-nucleotide ribosomal RNA is filed under the name uncultured bacterium. Its description in RNAcentral is "bacterial SSU rRNA". It matches the Rfam family "Bacterial small subunit ribosomal RNA", at positions 46 to 395 of the family's 1533-position model. The record is from RNAcentral.
GCCUAACACAUGCAAGUCGAGCGGCAGCACAAGUAAGUUUACUUAUGAGUGUGGCGAGCGGCGGACGGGUGAGUAAUGCCUAGGGAUCUAGCCCAGUCGAGGGGGAUAACAGUUGGAAACGACUGCUAAUACCGCAUACGCCCUACGGGGGAAAGGAGGGGACCUUCGGGCCUUCCGCGAUUGGAUGAACCUAGUGGGAUUAGCUAGUUAGGUAGAGGUAAUAGGCUCACCAAGGCGACGAUCCCUAGCUGUUCUGAGAGGAUGAUCAGCCACACUGGGACUAGAGACACGGCCCAGACUCCUACGGGAGGCAGCAGUGGGGAAUAUUUGCACAAUGGGGGGAAACCCUGAUGCAGCCAU